This 1160-nucleotide long non-coding RNA is filed under the name Mus musculus (house mouse). RNAcentral's name for it is "long non-coding RNA chrX:130464668-130465828". Lineage: Eukaryota; Metazoa; Chordata; Mammalia; Rodentia; Muridae. The record is from RNAcentral.
AGGGGUUUGGCUCAGGCAAUCUAUAGUGUCUCUAUUAAGUUUACUAUCAACAAUUGUACCAUCCUCUACCCAGCAUCAAAUUCCAAAGCCACUUUCACAUCUGUAGGUAUUUGUCAUAGCAGUACCCCACCUCAUACUAAAAUUUAUAUCACAUUCCUAUGGUUACUGUAACAUAUUCCCACAGACACAGAGGGAUAAAAUAGUAGAUUUCUGGUUCUGUGGUGUUUUUAUAGCCACAACUCCAAAACCAUGAUAUUGGCAAGAGAGCACUCCUCUGCAAACUCUAGAGAAAAAUCCACUCCUUGCAUCUUCUCAUGUGAUUGUCAUUAUUCCUUGGAUUGUGGCUUCAUCUUACUACUCUGUUGUUUUGACAGCUUCCCCUCUGUAUAUAUAAUCUACCUCUACUUCUCUCUUAUGAAGAUAAUUUUGAUGACCCGUCCGGAUUAUCUAUUAUAACAUCCUGAUUUUCAGAGCCUAAAUUUAAUUACAACUUCACAUACCUGCUGAACAGAAUAAGGUAAUAUCACAGAUUCUGAGGAUUAGCACACAAAUGAACAUGUCUUUUUGGGAGGGAGGAGCAUAAUUCAGCCACUACAGUAGUCAUUGCAUAUAAAUGUACUUUAUACUUUUUAAAAUGCAUCCUUGGUGCUCAAGCCAGAUUUAAGGUUGUUAUUAAAAGCUAUUGUCUGCACAGGCUACUGCAUGCUUUGUUACUAAAUAGACAAAAUGGCUAUUCUAAAUUUUGGUUGAUAUUUUCACCACUGUAACCAAUUAGCUGAAACAAUUCACGGAUCUCAACUCUGCUCUAGUGUGUCUCUUCUGCCCUUUUUUAUGAAGCCUUUGUUCAAAUGUCUUCUAUCAUGCAUAAUGUAGGCACAAAACUACCUCUGAUACAGAAGGGUUCUUUACAAGCUUCCUUUAGAUAUUGUGAAUCCCUCAGCUGAAGUGAGAGGUAAAAGCAAAGACUGUAUUGAAUGGGUAUUGAGGGAGAUUUUGUCCAUAGCAAGCAACUAUUUCUUUAAUAAAUAGUUCCAGUAGCAGUAAAGCUGUCAAUUUGUGCUGUCAUUUCACCUCGGAAUAAACACCUGUAUUUGCGCUGGACCAAUAAUGACUUGCAUUCUCUGUAUAAUGCCUAUUAAUUCAAUAAAGCUUAGAUCUGC